Molecule: ribosomal RNA, 305 nt
Filed under: uncultured bacterium
Lineage: Bacteria
Description: bacterial SSU rRNA
Rfam family: Bacterial small subunit ribosomal RNA
Source: RNAcentral
CCUACGGGGCGCAGCAGUGAGGAAUAUUGGUCAAUGACCGGAAGGCUGAACCAGCCAAGCCGCGUGAAGGACGAAGGUGCCAAGCAUUGUAAACUUCUUUUGUCAAGGGACAAAAUCAGGCUCGAGAGCCUGACCGAGGGUACUUGAAGAAAAAGCAUCGGCUAACUCCGUGCCAGCAGCCGCGGUAAUACGGAGGAUGCGAGCGUUAUCCGGAUUUAUUGGGUUUAAAGGGUGCGUAGGCGGUUUGAUAAGUUAGAGGUGAAAUGUCGGGGCUCAACCCAGAAACUGCCUCUAAUACUGUUGGG